Molecule: ribosomal RNA, 253 nt
Filed under: uncultured bacterium
Lineage: Bacteria
Description: partial 16S ribosomal RNA
Rfam family: Bacterial small subunit ribosomal RNA
Source: RNAcentral
UACGUAGGUGACAAGCGUUGUCCGGGUUUACUGGGCGUAAAGAGCGCGCAGGCGGUCGAUCAAGUCGAGUGUGAAAGCCCCCGGCUCAACUGGGGAGGGUCAUUCGAUACUGAUCGACUCGAAGGCAGGAGAGGGUAGUGGAAUUCCCGGUGUAGUGGUGAAAUGCGUAGAUAUCGGGAGGAACACCCGUAGCGAAGGCGGCACUCUGGGCCGGAACUGACGCUGAGGAGCGAAAGCGUGGGGAGCAAACAGG